RNAcentral lists this ribosomal RNA (360 nucleotides) under uncultured fungus. RNAcentral describes it as "eukaryotic LSU rRNA". It matches the Rfam family "Eukaryotic large subunit ribosomal RNA", at positions 40 to 398 of the family's 3401-position model. The record is from RNAcentral. Lineage: Eukaryota; Fungi.
AUAUCAAUAAGCGGAGGAAAAGAAACCAACAGGGAUUACCCUAGUAACGGCGAGUGAAGCGGUAACAGCUCAAAUUUAAAAUCUGGCCUUCACGGGUCCGAGUUGUAAUUUGUAGAGGAUGUUUCGGACAAGGCUGUGGUUUAAGUUUCUUGGAACAGAACGUCACAGAGGGUGAGAGUCCCGUCUAGAACCAACGGCCGCGUCUAUGUGAAAUUCCUUCGACGAGUCGAGUUGUUUGGGAAUGCAGCUCAAAAUGGGUGGUAAAUUUCAUCUAAAGCUAAAUAUUGGCCAGAGACCGAUAGCGCACAAGUAGAGUGAUCGAAAGAUGAAAAGUACUUUGAAAAGAGAGUUAAACAGUAU